AACGCGAAGAACCUUACCGGGGCUUGACAUCCUGCGCUAUCCUAGGAGACUAGGUUUCCGGGCAACCGGACGCAGAGACAGGUGCUGCAUGGCUGUCGUCAGCUCGUGCCGUGAGGUGUUGGGUUAAGUCCCGCAACGAGCGCAACCCUUGCCGUGUGUUGGUCGCAAGAUCUCUCACGCGGGACCGCCGGUGACAAGCCGGAGGAAGGUGGGGAUGACGUCAAGUCAGCAUGGCCCUUACGUCCCGGGCUACACACGUGCUACAAUGGGAGGGACAACGAGUCGCGAACCCGCGAGGGCAAGCUAAUCUCACAAACCCUCUCUCAGUUCGGAUUGAAGGCUGCAACUCGCCUUCAUGAAGUCGGAAUCGCUAGUAACCGUAGAUCAGCUACGCUGCGGUGAAUACGUUCCCGGGCUUGUA
RNAcentral lists this ribosomal RNA (421 nucleotides) under uncultured bacterium. RNAcentral's name for it is "bacterial SSU rRNA". It matches the Rfam family "Bacterial small subunit ribosomal RNA", at positions 958 to 1381 of the family's 1533-position model. The record is from RNAcentral.